This 480-nucleotide ribosomal RNA is filed under the name uncultured bacterium. RNAcentral describes it as "partial 16S ribosomal RNA". It matches the Rfam family "Bacterial small subunit ribosomal RNA", at positions 30 to 507 of the family's 1533-position model. The record is from RNAcentral.
UUGAACGCUGGCGGCAUGCUUUACACAUGCAAGUCGAACGGUAACAGGCCGCAAGGUGCUGACGAGUGGCGAACGGGUGAGUAAUGCAUCGGAACGUGCCCAGUCGUGGGGGAUAACUACUCGAAAGAGUAGCUAAUACCGCAUACGAUCUAUGAUGAAAGCGGGGGACCGUAAGGCCUCGCGCGAUUGGAGCGGCCGAUGUCAGAUUAGGUAGUUGGUGGGGUAAAGGCUCACCAAGCCAACGAUCUGUAGCUGGUCUGAGAGGACGACCAGCCACACUGGGACUGAGACACGGCCCAGACUCCUACGGGAGGCAGCAGUGGGGAAUUUUGGACAAUGGGCGCAAGCCUGAUCCAGCAAUGCCGCGUGCAGGAAGAAGGCCUUCGGGUUGUAAACUGCUUUUGUACGGAACGAAACGGCUCUGGUUAAUACCCGGGGCUAAUGACGGUACCGUAAGAAUAAGCACCGGCUAACUACGUG